This 262-nucleotide long non-coding RNA is filed under the name Gallus gallus (chicken). The record is from RNAcentral. Lineage: Eukaryota; Metazoa; Chordata; Aves; Galliformes; Phasianidae.
CUGAUUUCUUUGCAGAGCUGAAUGUCAUCCAUCAUGUAUCGCAGCUCUGACUCCCUCCUCACCAGGAUCUCCCUGAUCCUCUCGAUUUUGAAGAGCUCCCCUUCGAUGUCAUCGAUGGUGGUGGUGGAGUCAGCCAUGGAAAUGACCUCAUCCUCUGGCGCCGUGCUGGCGGGCGGCCACCGGGUGGAUUCCAGCGAGCCGUACCGGGGGGGGGUCCGGUUCCCCUCCAUGCUGCAGAGCGGUGCGGCCGCCCCGCUUCUCC